RNAcentral lists this transfer RNA (69 nucleotides) under Coilia reynaldi (Reynald's grenadier anchovy). RNAcentral describes it as "tRNA-Glu". It matches the Rfam family "tRNA". Rfam says of the family: Transfer RNA (tRNA) molecules are approximately 80 nucleotides in length. Their secondary structure includes four short double-helical elements and three loops (D, anti-codon, and T loops). Lineage: Eukaryota; Metazoa; Chordata; Actinopteri; Clupeiformes; Engraulidae. The record is from RNAcentral.
GUUUUUAUAGUUGAAUAACAACGAUGGUUUUUCAAGUCAUUGGUCUUGGUUAGAGUCCAGGUAAAAAUU